CUCCAGAUGUUGCUGAACUACAACUCCCAUGAUUCUAUGAAUUAAAUAUAUAGGCUGAGAAUCAUGGGAGUUGUAGUUCAGCAACAUCUGGAG
This 93-nucleotide microRNA precursor is filed under the name Pelobates cultripes (western spadefoot toad). Lineage: Eukaryota; Metazoa; Chordata; Amphibia; Anura; Pelobatidae. The record is from RNAcentral.